GGUCCUUUAGCUCAGUUGGUAGAGAAUGGCGCUUGUAACGCAAGGGUAGUGGGUUCAAUUCCCAGGACCA
RNAcentral lists this transfer RNA (70 nucleotides) under Salmo salar (Atlantic salmon). It matches the Rfam family "tRNA". From Rfam's summary of the family: Transfer RNA (tRNA) molecules are approximately 80 nucleotides in length. Their secondary structure includes four short double-helical elements and three loops (D, anti-codon, and T loops). Further hydrogen bonds mediate the characteristic L-shaped molecular structure. tRNAs have two regions of fundamental functional importance: the anti-codon, which is responsible for specific mRNA codon recognition, and the 3' end, to which the tRNAs corresponding amino acid is attached (by aminoacyl-tRNA synthetases). tRNAs cope with the degeneracy of the genetic code in two manners: having more than one tRNA (with a specific anti-codon) for a particular amino acid; and 'wobble' base-pairing, i.e. permitting non-standard base-pairing at the 3rd anti-codon position. Lineage: Eukaryota; Metazoa; Chordata; Actinopteri; Salmoniformes; Salmonidae. The record is from Rfam by way of RNAcentral.